Cricetulus griseus (Chinese hamster) is the source of this 302-nucleotide non-coding RNA. The record is from Rfam. Lineage: Eukaryota; Metazoa; Chordata; Mammalia; Rodentia; Cricetidae.
GGAUGUCAGAGGGAGCUGGCUGUUCCAUCUGUCACUCUGUUGAUUGCUGUGGUUGACUUGGCUAAUCUGGCUGGCCAGGCUGGUGUCCCCAUCCUCCUCGUCACUCUGUGUGUGUCCCUCCCAAUGCCGCUCUGUUGGCUGAACCUACUCCAGUAAAGAAAGGACAAGUAGCUUUCCUUCACUGUUAGCACUCCAAAAUAAACUCUCAAAAUACAAAAUAAUUAAUUAAGUCACUUUGCUUAUUUAAAAAAAGUCAAGAGACCAGACAUAUGGCUCAGCAGGUAAGAAUGCUUGUCAACACC